UGUCGGAUCAUUGGGAUUAAUCCCAAAAGCUCGAGCUGUUAGAAAUACACAACCAAUUCACUUAAAGCGUACAGAUACAGCCCCUACGGGUCUCGAUUGUGAUUCGGCCCAACCAGCCUCACACCACUUCGAACAUGACAUUUAAGCCAACAAUCUUCCCUCCAGCAUCUGCACAUAUUUGUAGUAUGCGAUAAUCGAAUCCGUGACCUU
This 210-nucleotide long non-coding RNA is filed under the name Ananas comosus (pineapple). RNAcentral describes it as "long non-coding RNA (ACOM_LNC033529)". Lineage: Eukaryota; Viridiplantae; Streptophyta; Magnoliopsida; Poales; Bromeliaceae. The record is from RNAcentral.